This 558-nucleotide ribosomal RNA is filed under the name Triticum aestivum (bread wheat). RNAcentral describes it as "partial small subunit ribosomal RNA". The record is from RNAcentral. Lineage: Eukaryota; Viridiplantae; Streptophyta; Magnoliopsida; Poales; Poaceae.
AUGCCCUGGUUGAUUCCGUGUGCUCCAGGGACUGCGUACGCGAGCAAAGGACCCCAGGGAAACCCCGCACCCCCUGUCCCGAUCUUCCCCGUUGCCACACGCCCUGGUUGGGGCGAUUGGAUCUCGUCCCGGAGCUCUGCCGUCCGCCGCCGCUCGCCGGAGGUUUUCGCCACCAGACCUAGCGGGGAGAGAGGAACAAGCUCGACCAACGUUCGCCGGAGCACACCCGCCGUUCUUGUCGCCGUUGCUGCCCGCAAAGGACGCCCCGUCGCCGUCCGACCUCACCACCGCCUCCGCCUCCGCCGCUCGACGCCGCACCCACCCAUCACUUCCCCUUCACCGGAGACUCGCCGGAGAGCCGCCACCGCCGACGCCCGAGACCGUCGCCGCCGUCCUCUGCUUUUGGUGAGCACGCACGCACAGGAGGUCCUCCAACCAAUCACGUGCUGCCAGGUGGCAACCAACUACAGUACACGCACGAACAGUGCAGGAGUUUUCUGUUGUUUUUGUUUUUCUUUCCAGAUUUGUUCUCUAACUUCUUUUAGCUAUAUCUUUUAG